Molecule: ribosomal RNA, 274 nt
Filed under: uncultured bacterium
Lineage: Bacteria
Description: partial 16S ribosomal RNA
Rfam family: Bacterial small subunit ribosomal RNA
Source: RNAcentral
AUACGGAUGGUGCGAGCGUUGUUCGGAAUUACUGGGCGUAAAGGGCGCGUAGGCGGCGAUGUAAGUCAAAUGGGAAAGUCCUCGGCUUAACCGGGGAAGUGCAUCUGAAACUGCAUUGCUCGAGUAUGGGAGAGGAAAGUGGAAUUCCCGGUGUAGAGGUGAAAUUCGUAGAGAUCGGGAGGAAUACCGGUGGCGAAGGCGACUUUCUGGACCAAUACUGACGCUGAGGCGCGAAAGCGUGGGGAGCAAACAGGAUUAGAAACCCUAGUAGUCC